Actinia tenebrosa (Australian red waratah sea anemone) is the source of this 200-nucleotide long non-coding RNA. Lineage: Eukaryota; Metazoa; Cnidaria; Anthozoa; Actiniaria; Actiniidae. The record is from RefSeq and is a predicted model, not a curated record.
GCGACAAGUGCUGAUAUUACAGAAAUCGAAGACUUAGCAUUCCAGAAACAGAAAUCCCUAUAUUAUCUAUUUUUGGAUGGAAACAAGCUAACAAAGGUUACAAAACAAAUGUUUACUGGACCCAAAGAUAUUCUCUUCAUAAGUCUUACCAAUAACCCUUUGAACAUCAUAGACCAAGGAGCAUUCAAGGAAAUGAAAGG